GAUGAACGCUGGCGGCGUGCCUAAUACAUGCAAGUCGAGCGAACGGACGAGAAGCUCGCUUCUCUAAUGUUAGCGGCUGACGGGUGGGUAAGACAUGGAUAACCUACCUCUAAGACGGGGAUGAUUUCGGAAAACAGUAGCUAAUAACGGAUAAUAUUUUGAACCGCAUGGAUCAAAAGUUAAAGACGGUCUUGCUGUCACUUAUAGAUGAAUCCGCGCUGCAUUAGCUAGUUGGUAAGGUAACGGCUAACCAAGGCAACGAUGCAUAGCCGACCUGAGAGGGUGAUCGGCCACACUGGAACUGAGACACGGUCCAGACUCCUACGGGAGGCAGCAGUAGGGAAUCUUCCACAAUGGGCGAAAGCCUGACGGAGCAACGCCGCGUGAGUGAUGAAGGUCUUCGGAUCGUAAAACUCUGUUAUUAGGGAAGAACAGAUGUGUAAGUAACUGUGCCCGUCUUGACGGUACCUAAUCAGAAAGCCACGGCUAACUACGUG
RNAcentral lists this ribosomal RNA (497 nucleotides) under uncultured bacterium. Its description in RNAcentral is "partial 16S ribosomal RNA". It matches the Rfam family "Bacterial small subunit ribosomal RNA", at positions 28 to 507 of the family's 1533-position model. The record is from RNAcentral.